RNAcentral lists this ribosomal RNA (301 nucleotides) under uncultured bacterium. Its description in RNAcentral is "partial 16S ribosomal RNA". It matches the Rfam family "Bacterial small subunit ribosomal RNA", at positions 509 to 807 of the family's 1533-position model. The record is from RNAcentral.
CAGCAGCCACGGGAAUACAGAGGGUGCGAGCGUUAAUCGGAUUUACUGGGCGUAAAGCGUGCGUAGGCGGCUUCUUAAGUCGGAUGUGAAAUCCCUGAGCUUAACUUAGGAAUUGCAUUCGAUACUGGGAAGCUAGAGUAUGGGAGAGGAUGGUAGAAUUCCAGGUGUAGCGGUGAAAUGCGUAGAGAUCUGGAGGAAUACCGAUGGCGAAGGCAGCCAUCUGGCCUAAUACUGACGCUGAGGUACGAAAGCAUGGGGAGCAAACAGGAUUAGAUACCCCCGUAGUCCCUGUCUCUUAUAC